GAUGAACGCUAGCGGGAGGCUUAACACAUGCAAGUCGAGGGGUAUAGUAGCAAUACUAGAGACCGGCGCACGGGUGAGUAACGCGUAUGCAACCUGCCCUUUACAGGAGGAUAGCCCGCUGAAAGGCGGAUUAAUACUCCAUAAGAUAGUACUGCUGCAUAGCAGAGCUAUAAAAGCUGCGGCGGUAAAGGAUGGGCAUGCGUGACAUUAGCUAGUUGGCGGGGUAACGGCCCACCAAGGCUACGAUGUCUAGGGGUUCUGAGAGGAAGGUCCCCCACACUGGUACUGAGACACGGACCAGACUCCUACGGGAGGCAGCAGUGAGGAAUAUUGGUCAAUGGGCGCGAGCCUGAACCAGCCAUCCCGCGUGCAGGAAGACGGCCCUAUGGGUUGUAAACUGCUUUUGUGCAGGAAGAAAGUCCCGAUCGUGAUCUGGGCGUGACGGUACUGCAUGAAUAAGCACCGGCUAACUCCGUGC
Molecule: ribosomal RNA, 478 nt
Filed under: uncultured freshwater bacterium LCK-73
Lineage: Bacteria
Description: bacterial SSU rRNA
Rfam family: Bacterial small subunit ribosomal RNA
Source: RNAcentral